CACCGAAGGCUUAAAGUAGGACAACCAUGGAGCCUUCCUGUGGCAGGAGAGACAACAAAGCGCUAUUAUCCUAAGCUUUUCCAGAAGCCUGUUAAAAGCAAGGUCUCCCCACAAGCAACUUCUCUGCCACAUCGCCACCCCGUGCCUUUUGAUCUAGCACAGACCCUUCACCCCUCACCUCGAUGCAGCCAGUAGCUUGGAUCCUUGUGGGCAUGAUCCAUAAUCGGUUUCAAGGUAAUAGCCUGCAGCUGGUGUUUUGAGAAGCCCUACUGCUGAAAACUUAACAAUUUUGUGUAAUAAAAAUGGAGAAGCUCUAAA
This 318-nucleotide long non-coding RNA is filed under the name Homo sapiens (human). RNAcentral describes it as "non-protein coding MALAT1:39". Lineage: Eukaryota; Metazoa; Chordata; Mammalia; Primates; Hominidae. The record is from RNAcentral.